GUCCUACCAAUUGACAAAGACUUCUGUGUGGCCCAGGAGAGUCCCAUCUUGGCCAGCGCCCUGGAAUGGAUGGCAGGGGAGACAUUCAGUGGGCGCAUCAGGCUUGCACAGGGAGUUUUGCUGCAGGACAAGUGGGGACAUGGGCACAGCUGCCCAUAGCCUCUUGGCUGCUCUCAAGGAGCCUGUGUGGACCACACCGCCAUCACUCCAGGAAAGCAGACAGGAAGGAAGAAUGUGACAAACAGAGAAACCAGCUGUUAGAGCAAAGAAGGAUUUGGAUGCUGAAAAAAUGCCAGCGUGGAGGCCAGUUGCUCUGCCCCAAAGUCCUGCGUCUGUCCCUCGCCUGCUCCUGUUGAACUGCUCUGAGCUCAGCGCUUGCUAUUCUGGGAAGGAAUUUCCACCAAGCUGGUGCGUCUGCCGCCUGAGGUUCCCUCUGAUUGACUGAUGAGCAGGUGGUGAAGAGCCUGUGGCUGAAAUAUCACAGACCCCGUGCUCAUCUUUAUUUUAUACCCAAGUCUGUGAUUGUGUUUGAAUGUUUUGUUUCUUCACAAUGAAGAGGUAAGUAAAUGACUGCUGACAUAAUUACUUUUCCAUGGGUAUAUAUACACAUUUAUUAGUACCAUUAUUUAUUUGUGAUUUGUCUGUAUAAUAUUGAGGUUAUUAUUACACAAUUUAAACCAAAACAAAUAUAGUCGCGCAGAACUCUGUAAUAGAAGGUGUUGGCAUUAUGAUUUUAAGAAGCCACACAACUAUCUUGGCUGUAAGCAAAUCCAUUAUAUCGGAAAAAAAUAAGUCUUGAAAUUCCUUUCAAAGCCGCAUGUCAUGCAAGCUCCUGAAACAGUCACGUCAUAAUCAGAGGAAAGGUACAGGAUGAAACAGUAUAGUAUUAAGUUGCUAUACUCUUGACAGAAAAUUUUCGAGAACUUAACCACAGACCUAGUGAAUGACAGGGUGAGUGUCCUUACCCUGAGAGUGCAUGCCCACCCCCCACCAUGGUCUCCACCCCCUUCACACCCUUGGCCCACGGAAGCUGCCCCCAGCACUCCCUCCCAGUGGCA
RNAcentral lists this long non-coding RNA (1058 nucleotides) under Sus scrofa (pig). Its description in RNAcentral is "lncRNA (ENSSSCG00070020719.1)". Lineage: Eukaryota; Metazoa; Chordata; Mammalia; Artiodactyla; Suidae. The record is from RNAcentral.